Molecule: long non-coding RNA, 383 nt
Organism: Pollicipes pollicipes
Lineage: Eukaryota; Metazoa; Arthropoda; Thecostraca; Pollicipedomorpha; Pollicipedidae
Exons: 4
Source: RefSeq, a predicted model, not a curated record
GCGGAGCAUUGGAGUACGGUCAGAAAACUGGAACUCGACAGGGGUAUCUCCUGGGAGAAAAGGUGGAAAGGGAAAAACGACAGAGCCAUGGAUUCCGGGAAUAAUGAGCUAGAGGACCUGCCAGCUGAGCCCAACACGCUCAGCCUGGCUUACGGCGGACAUAACGAAGAUAUUCUGAAACGAGCCAAGGCCCUGCUUAGUUCUGCUACUGCCCAUGCCAUCGAUGUGGAGCCACCCAACUGCCCGAAUCUGAACUAUGGACCCCAGCUGGGCAGUGACCGCUUCCGCACAACGCUCGCGGAAUUUCUCUCAAAGCGCUACAACCAAACAGUCAGCAGCGCCAGUCUGGUGCUGACGUGCGGCGCCACGCACGCACUCCACCU